GUAGUAUCAACAGGGACUAAGCAGCUGGCUCGCUGUGGAACUAGGGAAAGCACCCAGUGCUGCCCGGUUCAUCUCCCAAGGCUCUGAUCUGGGGCUGUCGCCUGAAGAGCAGUCACCCCAUUCGGGGCGCAUAGACCUACAUCCUUGAGCCCUCUUCUGCGGCACACCCAGGCCCCGGGAGGCCCCAGAGCAAGCAGCACCUGCACCCCUGGCAGGAAGUGGCCACCUGGAGAGAAGAGCUCGAUGGGCAGCAGCGCGCAGCUGUGCGGGGAGAGCCGGCCAGAUGUGGGAAUGAGCCCGGGAAGGUGGGGGCUGCGCUUCCACAGGAGAUGCUCCCGCGGGCCGCUAGUGCCCGGCCCCAGCGGAGCGAGGCCCCCGGCGCAGGGCAGGCCUACUCGGCUGCGCGGCCACAACAGCUUCCAGGCACAGCCACUGUCGCUCCCGCCCGCCACGGCCGCGCGCUCGAGGCUGCUGGGUCCUUCCCACCAGCCCUUCCUGCCCUGCUCGGGUCCUCGGGCUUCCACGCCAUCCGGACUCUUACCAGCUUCCAGUCAGAGACGAGCCACCGCCGUCUCCUGCACAAAACUCCGCUUCCCACAAGCCGCUCUGGCUGCCGGCUGCGCGCCUCCCAGGCCGCGCCGGAUCCUCCGCUCCCCCUGCCGGCCGGCGGCCAUUUCCGACCGGCAACGGCGGAACUUGCCGAAGACCAGGGACGGAAAUGGCCGAACCUGUUUUGGCCUGGGAGAGAAGAAUGCAGAGGUGUUCGUGAUUUUCCGGACGCACCCGGAGGUGGAGGCGGAGGAGGCGGUGGGCUCUGCCCUCUCGGGUCCUAGGCUCACGCUGGGUGCCGGUGAUUGUUAGAAGGAGGCGGCAGGCUGGAAGAACCCAACGUGCAAUGGGAAAGGAGACAAGUAAAAAUUUCCAGGGGUUGGUUCAUCUCCAUACUGGCAAGAGCUGACUUGCAGAUAACAGCAGCAGCAGCCUGGAGGACUUAGUCAUCCUGCGGAUUUGAAUACACAACACAUUGCUGCUUCUAACUCUGACUUACUUGGUUAUAACUGUACCUAAGCUUUAGGGAGGAAAAAAGACUCGCCUGAAACUUUCCUGGCAUUACGCUUGGCUGCUGCUCUCCGGCUGUUACCCAGCACCUCUCAUCCUCAGGUGGCAGUCAGCCUGCUCUUGCCUGCUCCUCCUCCUCCUCCCUCUCCAACAAUCUCCUGACCCAGCUCCUGUUCCUUCUCAAAGGUGGGCCAAACCAGCAGUGUGACUCUGGCUUUCUUGCCACUUUAAGCGGUUGCUUGAGUAUCAGUUCCACCGGCAGCAGUUCCCUCACUACAGGGCUCCUCUGGCUCGUUUUGAGUGGUGUCCUAGAUUCCUCC
RNAcentral lists this long non-coding RNA (1379 nucleotides) under Cricetulus griseus (Chinese hamster). RNAcentral's name for it is "lncRNA (ENSCGRG00015041282.1)". Lineage: Eukaryota; Metazoa; Chordata; Mammalia; Rodentia; Cricetidae. The record is from RNAcentral.